RNAcentral lists this ribosomal RNA (433 nucleotides) under uncultured bacterium. RNAcentral's name for it is "partial 16S ribosomal RNA". It matches the Rfam family "Bacterial small subunit ribosomal RNA", at positions 29 to 507 of the family's 1533-position model. The record is from RNAcentral.
AACGAACGCUGGCGGCAUGCCUAACACAUGCAAGUCGAACGAGACCUUCGGGUCUAGUGGCGCACGGGUGCGUAACGCGUGGGAACCUGCCCUUAGGUUCGGAAUAACUCCCCGAAAGGGGUGCUAAUACCUGAUAAUGUCUUCGGACCAAAGAUUUAUCGCCUUUGGAUGGGCCCGCGUUGGAUUAGCUAGUUGGUGGGGUAAAAGCCUACCAAGGCGACGAUCCAUAGCUGGUCUGAGAGGAUGAUCAGCCACACUGGGACUGAGACACGGCCCAGACUCCUACGGGAGGCAGCAGUGGGGAAUAUUGGACAAUGGGCGAAAGCCUGAUCCAGCAAUGCCGCGUGAGUGAUGAAGGCCUUAGGGUUGUAAAGCUCUUUUACCCGGGAUGAUAAUGACAGUACCGGGAGAAUAAGCUCCGGCUAACUCCGUG